This 1094-nucleotide long non-coding RNA is filed under the name Dasypus novemcinctus (nine-banded armadillo). RNAcentral describes it as "lncRNA (ENSDNOG00000052462.1)". Lineage: Eukaryota; Metazoa; Chordata; Mammalia; Cingulata; Dasypodidae. The record is from RNAcentral.
CACGCCUCUCACCCCGCGCACCCCUGCCUCACGGUCGCUCACCUCCCGCCAAACGCCGCGGCUCGUUCCUACCUCGGAGCCACUGCCAAGCUGGUGUCCCUCCCCGAGACCCCUGCAAAGCCACGGCUUCCUUGCAGGCCGUGUACCAGCGUCCCCUCGGCCUCUCAGCCCUCCCUGCAGGGUCUUGGCCGGCCCUGAGGACACCAACCCUCACCCCCCUGGCAAUUAGAGGAAGUAAAUGUGCAGUCUGAGCGCUAAUUCCUUUGCUCUUGCUGAAAUGGUAGUUUCUAACGGUCUCCAAGUCCGCUCUCAUUUAUUCAGUUGUUUGUUCAACUUUGAUUUGAUCGCCAACCAGGAGCCAGGCGCUCCCACAUCCAGCCUGCCCUCAGACAGCGGCGGAAACCGAAACCCACCCCCAAAGAUGGAGGAGAAAAUAAGCAGCAUCCACCAUCGCCAGCUAAAUGGGUCCGGAAUAAACCCACUGGACAAACAGCCCCACCGGACAAACAGCCCCACCGCCCUCCAGUGUGGAACAUGCGCUUUAGGUUAUGGGACGUGGGAAGUUUGAACUCAGAACACAGAAAUAGGGAAACGGACUUGGUCCAGUGGUUAGGGUGUCCGUCUACCACAUGGGAGGUCCACAGUUCAAACCCCGGGCCUCCUUGACCCGUGUGGAGCUGGCCUAUGCGCAGUGCUGAUGCGCGCAAGGAGUGCUGUGCCACGCAUGGGUGUCCCCCACGUAGGGGAGCCCCACGCGCAAGGAGUGCGCCCCGUAAGGAGAGCCACCCAGCGCAAAAGAAAGUGCAGCCUGCCCAGGAAUGGUGCCGCCCACACUUCCCGUGCGGCUGACGACAACAGAAGUGGACAAAGAAACAAGACGCAGCAAAUAGACACAGAGAAGAGACAACCAGGGGAGGGGGGGAAUUAAAUAAAUAAAUAAAUCUUAAAAAAAAAAAAACUGCAAAAAAAAAAAAGAACACAGAAAUACUCCUGGGAGCCGUGGACUAGGAAACUCACAGUUUAAGCCCCACCUCCAAAUGGAAACAGGCACCUCCCACUUCCUCCCCACUCUUGGUGACUGCUGAUAAGGGGAA